GGGACACGUGGUAUCCUGUCUGAAUAUGGGGGGACCAUCCUCCAAGGCUAAAUACUCCUGACUGACCGAUAGUGAACCAGUACCGUGAGGGAAAGGCGAAAAGAACCCCGGCGAGGGGAGUGAAAAAGAACCUGAAACCGUGUACGUACAAGCAGUGGGAGCACCCUUUUGGGUGUGACUGCGUACCUUUUGUAUAAUGGGUCAGCGACUUAUAUUCUGUAGCAAGGUUAACCGAAUAGGGGAGCCGGAGGGAAACCGAGUCUUAAUUGGGCGUUAAGUUGCAGGGUAUAGACCCGAAACCCGGUGAUCUAGCCAUGGGCAGGUUGAAGGUUGGGUAACACUAACUGGAGGACCGAACCGACUAAUGUUGAAAAAUUAGCGGAUGACCUGUGGCUGGGGGUGAAAGGCCAAUCAAACCGGGAGAUAGCUGGUUCUCCCCGAAAGCUAUUUAGGUAGCGCCUCGUGAACUCAUCUCCGGGGGUAGAGCACUGUUUCGGCUAGGGGGCCAUCCCGGCUUACCAACCCGAUGCAAACUGCGAAUACCGGAGAAUGUUAUCACGGGAGACACACGGCGGGUGCUAACGUCCGUCGUGAAGAGGGAAACAACCCAGACCGCCAGCUAAGGUCCCAAAGUCAUGGUUAAGUGGGAAACGAUGUGGGAAGGCCCAGACAGCCAGGAUGUUGGCUUAGAAGCAGCCAUCAUUUAAAGAAAGCGUAAUAGCUCACUGGUCGAGUCGGCCUGCGCGGAAGAUGUAACGGGGCUAAACCAUGCACCGAAGCUGCGGCAGCGACGCUCAGGCGU
This 802-nucleotide ribosomal RNA is filed under the name Salmonella enterica subsp. enterica serovar Oslo. RNAcentral describes it as "partial 23S ribosomal RNA". It matches the Rfam family "Bacterial large subunit ribosomal RNA", at positions 419 to 1221 of the family's 2925-position model. The record is from RNAcentral. Lineage: Bacteria; Pseudomonadati; Pseudomonadota; Gammaproteobacteria; Enterobacterales; Enterobacteriaceae.